AUGCUCGAGGAGGAGGACGACACGAACGAUAGAGAGAUCGGCGCCGGAGAGCACCCUGUGGUCAAUCUCGACCAAAUCACCAAAGCCAGAGAAGGCGCGAGCAAUGCCGACAGGGUUGAUGUGCUCGGCGGGGAAUCUGGUGGCAGAGAUGAAGGCCUAGGUCCUGGCCCUUGGUGGCACCCGGUCAGCCUCCUCUUCUCGGGUGAAGAUGAUGCGAGCGCCCUCAAAAGGCAGCUCCCGCAGCGCGACGCACAUUUCGUGGUCCUCGGGAGAGUUGAACCGCAAGUACAUGGCGCCAACGGAUGA
This 306-nucleotide ribosomal RNA is filed under the name Triticum aestivum (bread wheat). RNAcentral describes it as "partial small subunit ribosomal RNA". Lineage: Eukaryota; Viridiplantae; Streptophyta; Magnoliopsida; Poales; Poaceae. The record is from RNAcentral.